GUCUACAGCCAUGCCACCCUGAACGAGCCUGAUCCCAUCUGAUCUUAGAAACUAAGCAGGGUCGGGCCUGGUUAGUACUUGGAUGGGAGACCACCUAGGAAGACUACAUGCUGUAGGUA
Molecule: ribosomal RNA, 119 nt
Filed under: Pteropus alecto (black flying fox)
Lineage: Eukaryota; Metazoa; Chordata; Mammalia; Chiroptera; Pteropodidae
Source: RNAcentral